RNAcentral lists this ribosomal RNA (467 nucleotides) under uncultured bacterium. RNAcentral describes it as "partial 16S ribosomal RNA". It matches the Rfam family "Bacterial small subunit ribosomal RNA", at positions 28 to 507 of the family's 1533-position model. The record is from RNAcentral.
GACGAACGCUGGCGGCGUGCUUAACACAUGCAAGUCGAACGGAAAGGCCUCUUUCGGGGGGUACUCGAGUGGCGAACGGGUGAGUAACACGUGAGUAACCUGCCCUUGACUUUGGGAUAACUUCAGGAAACUGGGGCUAAUACCGGAUAGGAGCUCCUGCUGCAUGGUGGGGGUUGGAAAGUUUCGGCGGUUGGGGAUGGACUCGCGGCUUAUCAGCUUGUUGGUGGGGUAGUGGCUUACCAAGGCUUUGACGGGUAGCCGGCCUGAGAGGGUGACCGGCCACAGUGGGACUGAGAUACGGCCCAGACGCCUACGGGAGGCAGCAGGGGGGAAUAUUGCACAAUGGGUGGAAGCCUGAUGCAGCAACGCCGUGUGCGGGAGGACGGACUUCGGGUUGUAAAACGCUUUCGCUCAUGACGAAGCUUUGUGUGACGGUAGUGGGUAAAGAAGCACCGGCUAACUACGUG